RNAcentral lists this ribosomal RNA (443 nucleotides) under uncultured bacterium. RNAcentral's name for it is "partial 16S ribosomal RNA". It matches the Rfam family "Bacterial small subunit ribosomal RNA", at positions 338 to 795 of the family's 1533-position model. The record is from RNAcentral.
CCUACGGGUGGCAGCAGUGGGGAAUAUUGGGCAAUGGGCGCAAGCCUGACCCAGCAACGCCGCGUGAAGGAAGAAGGCUUUCGGGUUGUAAACUUCUUUUCUCAGGGACGAAGAAAGUGACUGUACCUGAGGAAUAAGCCACGGCUAACUACGUGCCAGCAGCCGCGGUAAUACGUAGGUGGCAAGCGGUAUCGGGAUUUAUUGGGUGUAAAGGGCGGGUAGGCGGGAGCGCAAGUCAGAUGUGAAAACUCAGGGCUCAACCCUGAGACUGCAUUUGAAACUGUGUGUCUUGAGUGCUGGAGAGGAAAGCGGAAUUCCGGGUGUAGCGGUGAAAGGCGUAGAUAUACGGAGGAACACCAGUGGCGAAGGCGAAUUGCUGGACAGUAACUGACGCUGAGGCGCGAAAGCGUGGGGAGCAAACAGGAUUAGAUACCCUGGUAGUC